Small nuclear RNA from Gorilla gorilla gorilla (western lowland gorilla), 104 nucleotides. The record is from Ensembl. Lineage: Eukaryota; Metazoa; Chordata; Mammalia; Primates; Hominidae.
GUGCUUAAUUCUGCAGCACAUAUACUAAAAUUAGAAUAAUAUGAAGAUUAGCAUGGCCCCUUCCCAAGGAUAACACGCAAAUUCGUGAAGCGUUCCGUAUUUUU